RNAcentral lists this long non-coding RNA (228 nucleotides) under Setaria italica (foxtail millet). RNAcentral's name for it is "long non-coding RNA (SITA_LNC000856)". Lineage: Eukaryota; Viridiplantae; Streptophyta; Magnoliopsida; Poales; Poaceae. The record is from RNAcentral.
CGGCGGGGCUGAAGCUGGAGUCCCGCGACUCCGGGCUGCAGACCGGCGACCCCGCCGGGUUCACGCUCGCCGACACGCUGGCCUGCGGCGCCGUCGGCCACAUCAUCGGCGUCGGCAUCGUGCUCGGGCUCAAGAACACCGGCGCGCUCGACCAGAUCAUCGGCUGAAGUGUUUGUUUGGCUGCCUAUCGCUCGCGCCGCCGCCUAUGUAACCUGCGUGCGUGUGCAU